Molecule: long non-coding RNA, 201 nt
Filed under: Elaeis guineensis (African oil palm)
Lineage: Eukaryota; Viridiplantae; Streptophyta; Magnoliopsida; Arecales; Arecaceae
Description: long non-coding RNA (EGUI_LNC082286)
Source: RNAcentral
CUUCUGCUUCUUCGCAGACUUCUUCUUCUUUUUCAAAAGACUUUUUCUUGGAAGAAGUCCGCUCUACAGUAAGGACUGAGCCUUUUGAACCCUUCAAAGAAAGCUUAACCGUAACCAACAUGUUCAUUAACUCAGCCAAGGUACACUACAUCUUAUGCAUAUAGAAGUUCAUGAUGAAUUGACCAUAUGCAUCAGACAAGG